This 447-nucleotide ribosomal RNA is filed under the name uncultured bacterium. Its description in RNAcentral is "bacterial SSU rRNA". It matches the Rfam family "Bacterial small subunit ribosomal RNA", at positions 355 to 825 of the family's 1533-position model. The record is from RNAcentral.
UGGGGAAUUGUUCACAAUGGGCGCAAGCCUGAUCCAGCCAUGCCGCGUGAGUGAAGAAGGCCUUCGGGUUGUAAAGCUCUUUUACCAGGGACGAUAAUGACGGUACCUGGAGAAUAAGCCCCGGCAAACUUCGUGCCAGCAGCCGCGGUAAUACGAAGGGGGCUAGCGUUGUUCGGAAUUACUGGGCGUAAAGCGCACGUAGGCGGAUUGUUAAGUCAGAGGUGAAAUCCCGGAGCUCAACUUCGGAACUGCCUUUGAUACUGGCAAUCUAGAGUCCGGAAGAGGUUAGUGGAAUUCCCAGUGUAGAGGUGAAAUUCGUAGAUAUUGGGAAGAACACCAGUGGCGAAGGCGGCUAACUGGUCCGGUACUGACGCUGAGGUGCGAAAGCGUGGGGAGCAAACAGGAUUAGAUACCCCAGUAGUCCCUGAGCGGGCUGGCAAGGCGCAU